Long non-coding RNA from Etheostoma cragini (Arkansas darter), 227 nucleotides. RefSeq lists it as uncharacterized. The record is from RefSeq and is a predicted model, not a curated record. The transcript has 3 exons. Lineage: Eukaryota; Metazoa; Chordata; Actinopteri; Perciformes; Percidae.
CCUUAUUUAAAACUAAUAAAACUUAGGGAUGCACUGAAUCCAGACUUUUGGGGUUCAGCCGAAUACCAAAUCCACUGGUUAAGAUUUGGCCGAAUCCGGAAUCUUCCUCCCAUCCUCAUUCCAUUACCACAUGAAACCCAUUAAUGAAGUAAACACGUCUGGUUAACACACGUUUUUGGCUGGGACUGUCCUUCCUUUGCCGUACCUGAGGUUACUACAUUUUGGCU